AAUGAACGCUGGCGGCGCGUCUAAUACAUGCAAGUCGAGCGAACAGACCAGGUGCUUGCCCCUCUGCCGUUAGUGGCGGACGGGAGAGUUACACGCGGAUAACCUACCUAUAAGAGAGGGAUAACUUUGGGACACCGGAGCCAAUACCGGAUAACAUAUUGAACUGCAUGGUUCAAUAGUGAAAGACGGCUUUGCUGUCACUUAUAGAUGGAUCCGGGCCGCCUUAGCUAGCUGGUAAGGUAACGGUUUCCCAAGGCAACGAUGCGUAGCCCUCCUGAGAGUGGGAGCGCUCACACCAUAUCUGAGACACCGUCCAGACUCCUACGGGACGCCGCGGUAGGGAACCUUCCCCCAUGCCCGCAAUCUUGACUGAGCAGCGGCGCUUCAGUGGUGUAGGCCUUCGGAUCGUAAAACUCUUUUAUUAGGGAAGAUCAAAUUUGUAAUUAACUAUGCACUUCUUGACGGUACCUAGUCAGAAAUCCCCGGCUAACUACGUC
This 497-nucleotide ribosomal RNA is filed under the name uncultured bacterium. RNAcentral's name for it is "partial 16S ribosomal RNA". It matches the Rfam family "Bacterial small subunit ribosomal RNA", at positions 29 to 507 of the family's 1533-position model. The record is from RNAcentral.